AGAGUUUGAUCAUGGCUCAGGACGAACGCUGGCGGCGUGCCUAACACAUGCAAGUCGAACGGGGUUAGGAAAGCUUGCUUUCCGAAGCCUAGUGGCGGACGGGUGAGUAACGCGUGAGUAACCUGCCUUUCAGAGGGGAAUAACGUUCUGAAAAGAACGCUAAUACCGCAUAACGUACAGCUUUCGCAUGGAAGCAGUACCAAAGGAGCAAUCCGCUGAGAGAUGGACUCGCGUCCGAUUAGCUAGUUGGUGGGGUAAAGGCCUACCAUGGCGACGAUCGGUAGCCGG
This 288-nucleotide ribosomal RNA is filed under the name uncultured bacterium. RNAcentral's name for it is "partial 16S ribosomal RNA". It matches the Rfam family "Bacterial small subunit ribosomal RNA", at positions 8 to 290 of the family's 1533-position model. The record is from RNAcentral.